This 460-nucleotide ribosomal RNA is filed under the name uncultured bacterium. RNAcentral describes it as "partial 16S ribosomal RNA". It matches the Rfam family "Bacterial small subunit ribosomal RNA", at positions 338 to 795 of the family's 1533-position model. The record is from RNAcentral.
CCUACGGGAGGCAGCAGUGAGGAAUAUUGGUCAAUGGGCGCGAGCCUGAACCAGCCAAGUAGCGUGAAGGAUGACUGCCCUACGGGUUGUAAACUUCUUUUAUAAAGGAAUAAAGUGAGGCACGUGUGCCUGUUUGUAUGUACUUUAUGAAUAAGGAUCGGCUAACUCCGUGCCAGCAGCCGCGGUAAUACGGAGGAUCCGAGCGUUAUCCGGAUUUAUUGGGUUUAAAGGGAGCGGAGUUGGGUUGUUAAGUCAGUUGUGAAAGUUUGCGGCUCAACCGUAAAAUUGCAAUUGAUACUGGCAGUCUUGAGUACAGUUGAGGUAGGCUCAAUUCGUGGUGUAGCGGUUAUAUUCUUAGAUAUCACGAAGAACUCCGCUUGCGCAGGCAGCUUACUAAACUGCCACUGACAUUGAUGCUCGAAAGUGUGGGUAUCAAACAGGAUUCGAUACCCCGGUAGUC